Molecule: non-coding RNA, 45 nt
Organism: Oryzias latipes (Japanese medaka)
Lineage: Eukaryota; Metazoa; Chordata; Actinopteri; Beloniformes; Adrianichthyidae
Source: Rfam
ACAACGGCUCUUUUAAGAGCCACACACUUACAACCAAGAGCACUG